GAUGAAAACGCAGAGGGUUUGCUAUAUUUUGACGACUUUACCAGUUUGCAAUAUCGUACAAAAUUAUAUUAUUUCUACUUUAGACUUAUAUACGAUUCUGGAACUAAUGGCAUAUGGUUUCAACAAGUAUCGGGCAAUGCUGAUGGUUUUAAUCCUCGUAUUCAAAGAAUCGUGGUACAUCGUCGAGAAGCAAAGAAGGAAACUAUAACGGAAUCAUAUACAACCACGAAAGAUGGCACCCCCUUGGAAGAUAUAGACCUUGUGCAACAACAUCAGCUACUACGAGGAGAGGGUAGUGUUGUCAUUUAUCUGUAGAAACUUUUAGUUAAAAAUAAAAAUAAAGGUUUCGAA
Long non-coding RNA from Anoplophora glabripennis (Asian longhorned beetle), 351 nucleotides. RefSeq lists it as uncharacterized. Lineage: Eukaryota; Metazoa; Arthropoda; Insecta; Coleoptera; Cerambycidae. The record is from RefSeq and is a predicted model, not a curated record. The transcript is spliced from 3 exons.